Molecule: long non-coding RNA, 1711 nt
Organism: Panthera uncia (snow leopard)
Lineage: Eukaryota; Metazoa; Chordata; Mammalia; Carnivora; Felidae
Exons: 2
Source: RefSeq, a predicted model, not a curated record
CGGAGCCACUGCGCCUGCGCCCCGGGGCCACUUCCUGUGUCGCCCGGAAGGCAGCGAAGAAAGAGAAAGCCUUCCCCCUCUCGCGAGACGAUGACACAUGCGCAGAAGCGUUAUUGACGCCGAGAAGCAGUCCCCGUGCCAGCAAUUUGCGGAUUGGUCGUAAGUUGGUGUGGCCCGCCUGCAAGUUGCCAAGCAACCGUUUUAAUAAAUUCGCCGCUGCCGCUCCCGCCCGCGGAGGAUAGUUAGUAUUUUCUCUCGAGAAUUAAAUGUCUAGCAGAAUUCCGAUUGCCGCCAAUUCAAGUCCAAGGCCAUCCUCGGAGAAGCUGAUGGAAUGCUGCCUCGGGCUGCGGUGAAGUCCGCCAGCCGGGGGCCCUGCCCUGGUCUCCUGUCUGCCGUCCGGGGCUCUUUGGGCCUCAGUUUCCUUUUGUAAAAUUGGCAUAACGAUGCCUGACUUCAGGAAAGUUCUUAAUUGGGGUCGAAUGAAGUAACACACAUGAAAGACUUUUGCCAAGUGUAAGAUUCCAUAAGAAUGCUAAGGGGUUGUUAGGACACACACAUGGACGCGUGCCAACUCCAAAGAUUUCAGCUGGUGGCUGAAUUUCUGAAGGAAAAGGAGAGGGAUCUCCUGACUCUGUGGGACAUACACUGAACCUUCUCCUCUGCUAUUCAGUGUGGUCUGCGAACCAGGAGCCUUAAUAUCUGCAGGGGACUUUCAGACCCGCAAGACCUUUUUAUAAAAUGCAGAUCGAGAAAGGUCCAGGGGGUGCCGAGCAAAUUCCCAGCUGAGCUGGCCGCACCGAGUCUAGAUGAGAAAGGAAAGCGAGGCUGAGCGAAGCAACCUCCUUGUCAAGACGUCAUACAGCCGUUAAGCAGCAGAGCCAGUGAAGCCUGUCCGGUACCGAAGUCCCCCAGCAUAAUCUUGGAAUCGUCUCUGACAAGUACUCCCUCCUCAAGGACACCUUUCCUCAUUCUUUCCCAAAUGGCUCAUCUCAUACCAUCGCUUCUUGAAGACUGCUUCUCAUAUUCUGCCUCAUAAGACGGCAGGCAUUUGCCUCAUCUUGCUUGCUAGACUUUAAACUGUGUCUUACUCCCGUGCGUAUCCUUUGCAGCACCAACCUCUCAGUGUCUUACACACAGCUGGCGUGAAAUCAGCGUUUGUUGAAUUAUAUUUCCCACACCUGAGGAAUACUCCAGAAACCUCUAUCAUGAUACAGAGUCUUGCACAAUCCUGGUGCUUCAUCAUAUUUUUAAAACGAUCUUUCUGCUGUUUCGGGGGGACUAAUUGACAAGCUGCUUUUGCAUCGACCCCCCGGGGAAGAAUAAAAGCACGUGCUCGCGAAUGUAGCAACAGCGAACGUUCCUUGACUUUUCUAAAGUGUCAUUCCAACAGUUUACAGGAGUUCUCUCAUUUAGUCCUCACAAUGAGACUACGGGGAUAUUAUUCUUGUUAUCUCCAAUUCGCCGUUGACAAAACCAAGGCCAGCCACACAAGAAGCGAGUAGAAGGGGGAGUGAGAUGCAAGCCGCGUGCCCCCCAAAUCCGACUCGGCAGAUGGCAGAUGGCAGAUGGCAGCAAAUCACUGCCACUAGCAGUGGCAUCUUUUCCACUGGCAACAGGAAGGGGGAUCAAAACAACCUAAAAGCAGGGAUAGAAUUAUCGAGCCAUAAAGUGUAGGCAAAACAUCAUUAAAAAUAAAACAAUUAACAUUAAA